Long non-coding RNA from Mustela lutreola (European mink), 3481 nucleotides. RefSeq lists it as uncharacterized. The transcript is spliced from 6 exons. The record is from RefSeq and is a predicted model, not a curated record. Lineage: Eukaryota; Metazoa; Chordata; Mammalia; Carnivora; Mustelidae.
UAUUUCUAAUGUUGAAGGAGUGGUCCUGUGUAUGGUUACCCCUAUGUAGACUGUAUCGUUGUACAGGCUGGCUGGAAUAAUGGCUGUAUAUUCUAGUUACUCUUUUAUUUAUUUAUUUAUUUGUUUGUUUGUUUGUUUAAAGAUUUUUAAAUUUACUUAUUUAACAGACAGAGAUUACAAGUAAGCAGAGAGGCAGGCAGAGAGAGGAGGAAGCUGGCUCCCUGCUGAGCAGAGAGCCCAAUGCAGGACUCUAUCCCAGGAUGCUGGCAUCAUGACCUGAGCCAAAGGCAGAGGCUUUAACCUACUGAGCCACCCAGGUGCCCCUAGUUACUCUUUUAACUAUGGCUUUUUACAGAGAGAAUUAAAAACACACACACACACACAAUAUAAUAAAAGAAAAAGCAAAUAAUAAAAGAAGAAAGAAGAAAGACAAAAGAAGAGAAAAAAGGAGAAGAAAAAAAGAAAAGAAAAAAAAAGAACAGGAGAAAAAAAGAACAAAACGACAAUAAAAAAUAGACAUAAAACAAGAGAAGACAAAUUUUAAAAAGUAAAAAUAAAAUAAAACAAAACAGUAAGAAUUAAAAGAAAAAACAAAAAACCACAAAAUCACAGCUUGUUUUCUGUGCCCCACUACCAUAGGGUGGCUGGUAUGGGCUUAGGGACCCUGAGCUUGCUGAGGUUGCAGGCCUUUUGUGACCAUUUGACCUGUUUGCCAUGGUGUCUGAGUCCUGCUCCAGUCUAGGCUUCCAAGGUUGGAUGGGAACAUAAACUGUCAUUCUCUAGUCCCUCUAACCUGGAGAGCCUUCCCAUAGCUCCUCUGUCAACUGGCAGAGUACUAGUGUUUUUUCUUUUAUAUGCUAGUUGCUCUUUUAAACUGUGGCUUUUCUUCGGUGCCCAAAGACAGAGAGAUAAGUGCCUGUUCCCUCAAUACCUUCCUUCACCCCUGCCAUUCACAAUGUUGGGGGUGGGGCUUCCCUUUGUUACUAUGUCUCUGUCUCUCUUGCUGUUCUCUUGCCAUUUGCUCUGUCUUUGGUUGUUCAGUAGCUGUUCAGUCAGCCCUCAGUUCUUCAGGAGCAAUUAUUCCAUUAAUAAGUGUGAUUUGGUUUAUUCCAUGGAGGAGAUAGAGCCAGCAUGAAUGUAAGAUAAAGAGGAGGAAUCAAAGAUGACUGCAGGGGUUUUGCCUGAGCAGCUGCAAGGAAGAAGUUACCAACUGGCAUCAGUAAGUCUGGGCAGGUCAGAACCCAUUGUUAAGACUCCAGUGGUUCGAAGUCAUGUCAAAACAAGAGUUACCAGUUGGAAGAACGAGAAUGUUUGCUCCAAGGUCUUUCAGUAGACACACGGUGGCCGUGAAGACUGUAUGUAUUAUUGGAGGACUUUCUUUCCUGAGGACUAAAAAACAAGCUAAAUGAAAGUAAAAAUAAGGUUAGGACUUGAAACCCAUUGGUUUCAACUCCAGUCCGUGGCCCUGUGAAACCCUCUAACCUACCUGAUGGCACUGUCACAAGGGGGACAGCUAAACAUCUGCAGAUCAUGGCAAACCUUGUCUUGAAACCCAACUCAGAGCUUGCUCUUCUCAAGAAAAUGGAGAAUCCUCCUCAGCAUUAACUUGGGGUUUCUCUGAAGUCCACCAAUAUUGAAACAAUUGGAUUUUCUGCCAAGAGACAUUAAGGCUGAUUUGACAAGAAUGACGAGGCACUUUAAGAGUUGAUUGACUGUUAGUACAAGGCUUUUAGAGCUUUCUAAAAUUGCAUCAACUGUAAGUGAAAGAAAUGGAAGUAUCUACUCAGAGCUUCAAAGGAAAGCCUGUGACAUGAGGAACGAAUGGUUGCAUGGUCAAAUAUGAAUACAUUUAUCCAGCAUUUCUCGGAUCCCUAUAAUAUACAAAUUCAUUUGGUUUGUCCACAGUUUUCUAUAGUCCUCAUACUCAGCGACCCAUUAAGAUCUAAGCUAAUCAAUGUAAAAAAAUCAUUUUGUGUUUAUUGAAGGCUUUUCAGAAGAUCCAUUCAGCUAAGACUCUUACUGAAUGUGUUUUUGUAUGUGUUUUCAACUCUAUCUUGGAGCUUCCUAUCUAAGGCCAACUUACCCUCCUGUCACCAUAUUGAUAGAGUGAGGCAACAACAGAAACCAACUGAAAGCAAAAUCUUUGAAGCUGGCAGCAUCUAUGCUGAAAUCUUCAAGAUACUUUUGGUGAUGAUAUCAAGUAACAUCAACCUACUCAGGCAGUAUGUAUGAAGUUGUAACCCCAGUGAGAUCAACCUGUGUGUGUCUCUUGCCUUUCACCACCUUAUUUUAGAUAGCUAUUUGUUACAAGUGUCCUGACACUUUUUAAUAUUUUAUAACUAAAGAUAGACAAAAUGUGCCUGGCAAGAACAAUAACUAAAGACUGAGUCAACAGCCCAGGACCACUCAUUAUGCCAGGAAAUAUGUGCUUACGCUGUGACAAUGGCUGUCGUCUUGGAUUGGCCCCAUUAACCACCUCUGGACAAUCAAGGCAAUGAUGGAAGCCAUUCUCUUCCUCUAACAAGAUAUUGCCAAGAAAGUACACUGCUGCACAACCAGCUGUUUGAGGAACUGAAGAGGAUGAAAAGAGGGUGAAAACAGAUGGGAUAUAUUUUGCAUUUCUACUUAGAUAUGAAUAUGUACAUAUGAUAUAUUAGGGCAUCUCUCCCACACAUGUCCCUCUCUUCUUGGUACAUUAUGUUAACCAUUUAUCACUUUCGUAUGUCAACUUUGUCCAAAAAUUAUAUAUGCUCUUUGUUUCUUAGAUUUACUCCUUUCUUUACACCACUUUUUACUGAACUAUUUGGUUAGAACUUGUGAAAACUUCUUAUAGCUUAUGCUGCAUGGAAGGUACUUUGUGUAGAGGGAACAUUUGUUUGAAACAAAGCUUAAAGUGUAUUCUUUGCUAAGAAUCAUACUAGGCUUCAAUAUAGGGAGAAAUACAUAGUUGAAAGUGUUUAGAUUGUCCUGGUGCCGUAUUUUUAAAAUCUCACAUGUAAGAAACAUAUAUACUUUUUUUGUUGAAUUGGAAAAUAUAGAAAGAAGAAAAAUAAAUCAAUAAAUACAUAAAUAAUAAAUAAGAAAAUUAGCACUGUACAUAGUCUCAUCACCUGGAGAUUAUCUGUCUAUAUUCUUCCUCUAUCCUUCUAUCUCACACAGAAGUAUAUAUUUAUAUACGUAUGUAUAUAUGCAUGUGUAUGUAUGUACAUAUUUGGGAUUAUAUGGUAAACACUAGUUGCUACUUUUUCUGUAUCAUUACAACUAUUUUUUCUUGUUCUUGAUUAUUUAAAAAUAUGUUCCAAUUGUAUGGGUUUACACUAAUUUACUUAACUAUUCUUUGUUUUCUUGUUAUUAAACUUUGUUUCCAAUUUUAUUUGGGUAUUGUAGUAUGACAAUAAAAACAUAUAUAAUACAAAACAAAUUAAUAAUACAGUUGAUUUUGUAACUUUAUUCUUCCUAGUUUAUUGUUCCUAGAUGUCAA